ACCGAUGGCUCUAAUCCACACCUACACUUUCCUGUGCCUCGGCAUCAACGUCUUUCCUGUCUGAGUAUUUACUUGCUAGAAAACGUCUAGCAAGUACAGCGCCUGAAAGAUUGAGACCUCCGUUGUGUUCAGUCUCGGGUGAAUUACAAGUCUCUCUGAAAUGGCUGCUGAGUGCCAGUGAAGGAUGCCUUUCAGCAAGAUGGGGGAUUUCCAGCAACUUGAGGUAAAAUGGACACUGAGACAGAGCAGGCCUCACCAAUAGGCCUGGGAGUCUGGCUGCUCCUCGAAACACAUCCAUCUUUUGAAAAGAAAGGAAACUAUAGGUACUGGUUUAUUAUACCGACCUGUUUCAGCUUCAGCGUGGAUUCAUCAGGCGUUUCCCGGACGUUGUGUGCUAAUAACAUAUAGUUUCUAGCAAUGACUUUUUAAAAUUCGACACACCUGGUAAACUACCAGUUACACUGCACAUGUUACGACAUGUGAUAAGUGAAUAUUUUGUGGGGAAAGUGUCUACGUUGGUGUAUUCAUAGAAUGAGGAAUUGCCGUGGUCGUAGUAGUAGUCAUAAAAACUGUGGGCUUUGGGUGCCGGAUUCAACAGGUAUAUACUGAAGAAGGAGAAACCCACAUUCACUGUAAUAGUCUACGAUGGUGUAUUGACACAGAGAGAACCAAAGAUUACAUUGUGAUCCAGCGUCUAUUAGAAAACUUGAGAAACGGACUGGAGGUGAAUGGUCCAUUCGGAUUGUUUGCUCAUAUUCAAUAUUGUAGCCAGAGAGGUACACUGCCACAGUGCUGCCGACACAUCUGGGCCUUAUUGUAUUUCUAUCUAGGGUGGAGAUACAGAGACAACAGAACAUCCAGCCAACAUGUUGGAGAAGACAUACCACAAGAGGAUUGUUUUGGAAACAGAAAGAUCAUGCACAUCCAAUCUGGAGGUAAGUGGAAGUGCUUUUGAAUCGACCAACCAGAGCAAGGUUCUUUGAUUGGUCUCGAGUGGAGCUUUCGGGCAGUGAGGAGCUCCACAAUGAGGGGUUACCUAGCAACCAAUAACUACCAUUAUUAAUCUUGGAGAUCAUCCCCCCCCCCUCCAGUGUUGCUUCAGGUUACCAACCACAGUUCUAGGAGUUUUAAUACAAUGAACGGAAGUGGAUUUCUAUCCAACUGUGCUCCAAGAAAACCAGGAAAGGUGUUAACAUUGCAUGUCUAUGCAUAAUACACCAGGGUUGAUUCCAACUGUUUUGGGAGAUGUAGAUCAAUUGUCUUGUGGAUGGCAAAAAAACUGCACUUCUGUUGACCUUCGUGAUUGUUGCUGGGUGAGGAGAAAGACGUGAUUUGCUGCUGUUGUUUGUUUUCAAAAGCGGGAACACUCACUGAUUCAUUAAAGCUCUCAAUGAGUAGCAGAGGGAAAUAUGAUGAGGUACCCCAAAAACUGAAACAAACAACGUUUUUAAAACAGUAGAUUUGAAUUAGUUUGGUGUGUGGCCGGAAUAGCUGAUAAGAUUA
RNAcentral lists this long non-coding RNA (1503 nucleotides) under Oncorhynchus kisutch (coho salmon). RNAcentral describes it as "lncRNA (ENSOKIG00005021773.1)". The record is from RNAcentral. Lineage: Eukaryota; Metazoa; Chordata; Actinopteri; Salmoniformes; Salmonidae.